GGUCCCUUAGAUCAGUUGGUUAGAUCGUGGUGCUAAUAACGCCAAGGUGAGUCACUCCCUGGAUGCUCAGUCGAUUCUGCAAAAAUGAGGUUGCUAACGGUGUAUCAAGGUCGCGAGUUCGAACCUCGUAGGGACCA
Fonsecaea pedrosoi CBS 271.37 is the source of this 137-nucleotide non-coding RNA. The record is from the annotation of a RefSeq genome assembly. NCBI's taxonomy places the organism in Eukaryota, Fungi, Ascomycota, Eurotiomycetes, Chaetothyriales, Herpotrichiellaceae.